This 255-nucleotide ribosomal RNA is filed under the name uncultured bacterium. Its description in RNAcentral is "partial 16S ribosomal RNA". It matches the Rfam family "Bacterial small subunit ribosomal RNA", at positions 524 to 777 of the family's 1533-position model. The record is from RNAcentral.
UACGAAGGGGGCUAGCGUUGUUCGGAAUUACUGGGCGUAAAGCGCACGUAGGCGGAUUUUUAAGUCAGGGGUGAAAUCCCGAGGCUCAACCUCGGAACUGCCUUUGAUACUGGAGAUCUUGAGUUCGGAAGAGGUUGGUGGAACAGCUAGUGUAGAGGUGAAAUUCGUAGAUAUUAGCUAGAACACCAGUGGCGAAGGGCGGCCAACUGGUCCGAUACUGACGCUGAGGUGCGAAAGCGUGGGGAGCAAACAGGG